RNAcentral lists this ribosomal RNA (380 nucleotides) under uncultured eukaryote. Its description in RNAcentral is "partial 18S ribosomal RNA". It matches the Rfam family "Eukaryotic small subunit ribosomal RNA", at positions 592 to 976 of the family's 1831-position model. The record is from RNAcentral.
CAAUAGCGUAUAUUAAAGUUGUUGCGGUUAAAAAGCUCGUAGUUGGAUUUCUGCUGAGAACGACCGGUCCGCCCUUUGGGUGUGUAUCUGGCUCUUUCUUGGCAUCUUCUUGGUGAACGUUGCUGCACUUGACUGUGUGGAGCGCUACCCAGGACUUUUACUUUGAGGAAAUUAGAGUGUUUCAAGCAGGCAUACGCCUUGAAUACGUUAGCAUGGAAUAAUAAGAUAGGACCUCGGUUCUAUUUUGUUGGUUUCUAGAGCUGAGGUAAUGAUUAAUAGGGAUAGUUGGGGGCAUUCGUAUUUAACUGUCAGGGGUGAAAUUCUUGGAUUUGUUAAAGACGGACUACUGCGAAAGCAUUUGCCAAGGAUGUUUUCAUUGA